AUGUAUAAGAACCAGCUGCAGGAGCUAGCGCAGCGGAGCUGCUUCAACUUGCCGUCGUACACGUGCAUACGCGAGGGGCCGGACCACGCGCCGAGGUUCAAGGCGGCCGUGAACUUCAACGGCGAGGUGUUCGAGAGCCCGAGCUUCUGCACCACGCUGCGGCAGGCGGAGCACUCGGCGGCGGAGGUGGCUCUCGCCGCCCUAUCCCACCGCGGUCCCUCCCACUCCCUCGCCGCUCGGAUCCUGGAUGAGACAGGGGUUUAUAAGAACCUCAUGCAGGAAAUUUCCCAGAGAGUUGGGGCACCUUUGCCAUCAUAUACCUCGGUGCGUUCAGGUCUGGGACACCUGCCUGUCUUUACAUGCACAGUGGAACUUGCUGGAAUCACGUUUACGGGCGAACCUGCUAAGAACAAGAAGCAGGCAGAAAAAAAUGCUGCUUUGGCAGCAUGGUCAUCAUUGAAACGAUUGGCGAAGGAAGCAGCAAGCUCGUCAACUGAACAAAACAAUGAUGAGCAGGAACAGAUCACGAUUGCUCGAGCUCUCCUCAAUUACCGCCUCAAGGAAAAAAUAGCUAUGGCGAACAACCCCCAUGCAACUCCUUUCCCAAAGAAGUUCCCAGUUCAGCUAGAUAAAAAACCAGCUUCACUUCAAUCUCCUCUAUCUGUAUCGAAGAUCCUUCCUCUCAUCAGACAAAACUCUAUUCCAAGAGGUCGUGCAACCUCUCGUGGAAUAAAUGAUGGAGCUCAUUCAUCAUUCCAAGAGAACCACAAUGAGCGGCCCCAGAACUUCCCUGUUGCUGCAGCAGCACCAUAUUUUCCAGUUAGGCCCUUCGGUCGGCCUUGCCAUGGCAUGGCACCCCCUGUGACAAUAAGGACAGCUGUGCCAGUCUUUUCAGCCCCCCCACUUCCACCACCACCAUCACAGGUAUGCCAACAACGUCUGCCUGUUAUUGGUCACACACAGAUCCGCAUGGCAUCCCCAGUCCGCAUCAGACAGUCCGUGCCAGUCUUUUCUGCUCCACCACCACUCCCACCUGUAACUUCAGUGAUCCCAGUUCGGGUGAAGGAACCCUUGCCGGUUGUCUCACCCCCUUCAUCGGACAAGGUUCUUGUGCCAGUUAUCGCAUCAGCAUUACCUGUUAAGGUAAAAGAAUCAGUGCCAGUUGCUACGGCAUCUCUCUCAGUGAAUGAACAGUCACCUGUUACUGCACCAGCUGUUCCAGUUCUAGUAAAGGAACCAUUGUCCUCAAUUCAGACACAUGAGCCUUCAACCUCGCCCCUGGCCUGCCCAGCAGUGAAGCCGUCGAGUCAGAUAGAGGACUUUGUGGAUGGUCGUGAUGCAAAGGAUCUGGAAGAAUCUGAAUCGACAGCGAUGGAGAGCUUGAAACGAUUGGAUAUCUGUUGAAUUCAGAGAUCCUCUUCGCUCAUGUUUUGGUCAUCAUGCUUCUAAGUUAAUUUUUCUUUGAUGUAUUGCUAUUAGGAUUUUAGAGAGGCCACGCUACUAGAAUCUUAGCUCUACAGACGCCAAUCUCAAACUUGAGGCCAAUUCACUUGAUAUGAAGUAUCCUAUCGAUGAGAAGUUUUAACGCUUCUGUUCUUAUCAACUACUGGUAAGCAAUUGCAGUCCGAAUGCAGUGCUCCCCAACUCAGAUAAGUUGUGAGACCUGUUUCUUGCUUGUGUAACAGGGAUGAUUUGGCAUGCUGUAGUGGAGUUGGUACAGUGAGUAGUAGCUCGUAAGGUGAUAUGUCCAUCUUCUCAGACCUUAGAAUCAUUUUGUCUUCCAUAGUUGGUAAAUAUUGCAGAUGUAUUAUGUGUUUUUCA
Molecule: RNA transcript, 1821 nt
Organism: Musa acuminata AAA Group (dessert banana)
Lineage: Eukaryota; Viridiplantae; Streptophyta; Magnoliopsida; Zingiberales; Musaceae
Gene name: double-stranded RNA-binding protein 6-like
Exons: 4
Source: RefSeq, a predicted model, not a curated record